GGCCUGGCGGCAUGCUUACCAUGCAAGUCGAACGAACCUUCGGGUUAGUGGCGGACGGGUGAGUAACGCGUGAGAAUCUGCCCUCAGGAGGGGGAUAACGGUUGGAAACGGCCGCUAAUACCCCAUAUGCCGCGAGGUGAAAUGAAUUUCGCCUGAGGAUGAGCUCGCGUCUGAUUAGCUAGUUGGUGUAGGUAAUGGCUCACCAAGGCAUCGAUCAGUAGCUGGUCUGAGAGGAUGAUCAGCCACACUGGGACUGAGACACGCCCCAGACUCCUACGGGAGGCAGCAGUGGGGAAUUUUCCGCAAUGGGCGAAAGCCUGACGGAGCAACGCCGCGUGAGGGAUGAAGGCCUCUGGGCUGUAAACCUCUUUUAUCAAGGAAGAAGAUCUGACGGUACUUGAUGAAUAAGCCACGGCUAAUUCCGUGCCAGCAGCCGCGGUAAUACGGGAGUGGCAAGCGUUAUCCGGAAUUAUUGGGCGUAAAGCGUCCGCAGGCGGCCCUUCAAGUCUGCUGUUAAAAAGUGGAGCUUAACUCCAUCAUGGCAGUGGAAACUGUUGGGCUUGAGUGUGGUAGGGGCAGAGGGAAUUCCCGGUGUAGCGGUGAAAUGCGUAGAUAUCGGGAAGAACACCAGUGGCGAAGGCGCUCUGCUGGGCCAUCACUGACGCUCAUGGACGAAAGCCAGGGGAGCGAAAGGGAUUAGAUACCCCUGUAGUCCUGGCCGUAAACGAUGAACACUAGGUGUCGGGGGAAUCGACCCCCUCGGUGUCGUAGCCAACGCGUUAAGUGUUCCGCCUGGGGAGUACGCACGCAAGUGUGAAACUCAAAGGAAUUGACGGGGGCCCGCACAAGCGGUGGAGUAUGUGGUUUAAUUCGAUGCAACGCGAAGAACCUUACCAGGGUUUGACAUCCUGCGAAUCUCUUGGAAACGAGAGAGUGCCUUCGGGAGCGCAGUGACAGGUGGUGCAUGGCUGUCGUCAGCUCGUGUCGUGAGAUGUUGGGUUAAGUCCCGCAACGAGCGCAACCCACGUCUUUAGUUGCCAGCAUUUAGUUGGGCACUCUAGAGAGACCGCCGGUGAUAAACCGGAGGAAGGUGUGGAUGACGUCAAGUCAUCAUGCCCCUUACAUCCUGGGCUACACACGUACUACAAUGCUACGGACAAAGGGCUGCAAGUUCGCGAGGACAAGCAAAUCCCAUAAACCGUGGCUCAGUUCAGAUCGUAGGCUGCAACUCGCCUACGUGAAGGAGGAAUCGCUAGUAAUCGCAGGUCAGCAUACUGCGGUGAAUACGUUCCCGGGCCUUGUACACACCGCCCGUCACACCAUGGAAGUUGGCCACGCCCGAAGCCGUUACUCCAACCCUUGGGAGGAGGACGUCGAAGGUGGGCGUAUG
Molecule: ribosomal RNA, 1390 nt
Filed under: uncultured bacterium
Lineage: Bacteria
Description: bacterial SSU rRNA
Rfam family: Bacterial small subunit ribosomal RNA
Source: RNAcentral